CGAGUUUGAUCCUGGCUCAGAACGUACGCUGGCGGCACGCCUAACACAUGCAAGUCGAACGCAGUAGCAAUACUGAGUGGCAAACGGGUGAGUAUAAUGUGGGAAUCUGCCUUUUGGUUUGGAAUAACACGGGGAAACUUGUGCUAAUACCGAAUAAGCCCUUACGGGGAAAGUUUUAAUGCCGAAAGAUGAGCCCGCACUUGAUUAGCUAGUUGGUAAGGUAAAAGCUUACCAAGGCAACGAUCAAUAGCUGUUCUUAGAGGAAGACCAGCCACAUUGGGACUGAGACACGGCCCAGACUCCUACGGGAGGCAGCAGUGGGGAAUCUUGCACAAUGGGGGAAACCCUGAUGCAGCGAUGCCGCGUGAGUGAAGAAGGCCUUUGGGUUGUAAAACUCUUUCGUCGGGGAAGAAAAUGACUGUACCCGAAUAAGAAGGUCCGGCUAACUUCGUGCCAGCAGCCGCGGUAAUACGAAGGGACCUAGCGUAGUUCGGAAUUACUGGGCUUAAAGAGCUCGUAGGUGGUUAAAAAAGUUGAUGGCGAAAUCCCAAGGCUCAACCUCGGAACUGCCAUCAAAAC
RNAcentral lists this ribosomal RNA (579 nucleotides) under uncultured Alphaproteobacteria bacterium. RNAcentral describes it as "bacterial SSU rRNA". It matches the Rfam family "Bacterial small subunit ribosomal RNA", at positions 9 to 633 of the family's 1533-position model. The record is from RNAcentral. Lineage: Bacteria; Pseudomonadati; Pseudomonadota; Alphaproteobacteria.